RNAcentral lists this small nuclear RNA (155 nucleotides) under Marchantia polymorpha subsp. ruderalis. RNAcentral's name for it is "U4 spliceosomal RNA". The stretch from base 1 to 138 matches the Rfam family "U4 spliceosomal RNA". From Rfam's summary of the family: U4 small nuclear RNA (U4 snRNA) is a component of the major U2-dependent spliceosome. The structure of U4 snRNA from yeast and human has been reported. Lineage: Eukaryota; Viridiplantae; Streptophyta; Marchantiopsida; Marchantiales; Marchantiaceae. The record is from Rfam by way of RNAcentral.
AUCUUUGCGCUUGGGGCAACGAGACAGUUAGUGAAGUGUAAACAAGAGGCGUCAAUUGCUCGUUGAAAAGUAUAUCCAUCACAUUUUAUUUUUUUUUCAAGUUUUCAUAAACAAAAUUUAUUUAUACAAUAUCUCUUAUCAAGCAUUUGUAAGAU